Molecule: ribosomal RNA, 253 nt
Filed under: uncultured bacterium
Lineage: Bacteria
Description: partial 16S ribosomal RNA
Rfam family: Bacterial small subunit ribosomal RNA
Source: RNAcentral
UACAGAGGUGGCAAGCGUUGUUCGGAAUUAUUGGGCGUAAAGGGCGCGUAGGCGGCUUGACAAGUCAAAGGUGAAAUCCCUCGGCUCAACUGAGGAACUGCCUUUGAAACUGUCUGGCUUGAGGCCGGGAGGGGGUAGCGGAAUUCCCAGUGUAGCGGUGAAAUGCGUAGAUAUUGGGAGGAACACCAGUGGCGAAGGCGGCUACCUGGACCGGUUCUGACGCUGAUGCGCGAAAGCGUGGGUAGCAAACAGG